Molecule: ribosomal RNA, 455 nt
Filed under: uncultured Salinibacter sp.
Lineage: Bacteria; Pseudomonadati; Rhodothermota; Rhodothermia; Rhodothermales; Salinibacteraceae
Description: bacterial SSU rRNA
Rfam family: Bacterial small subunit ribosomal RNA
Source: RNAcentral
GGGAGGCAGCAGUGGGGAAUCUUGCACAAUGGGGUCACCCCUGAUGCAGCCAUGCCGCGUGGAGGAAGACACCCCUNUGGGGSGUAAACUCCUUUUCUGAACGAARAAAACUCUGUAGCUUCAGAGCGAGACGGURGUUCAGGAAUAAGCACCGGCUAACUCCGUGCCAGCAGCCGCGGUAAUACGGAGGGUGCAAGCGUUGUCCGGAAUCACUGGGUGUAAAGGGUGUGCAGGCGGGGCAGCAAGUCGGAUGUGAAAGCCCGUGGCUCAACCACGGAAGCGCCUUCGAUACUGCUGCUCUUGAGUCCCGGAGAGGCUGUCGGAAUUCGUGGUGUAGCGGUGAAAUGCGUAGAUAUCACGAGGAACACCAGAGGCGAAAGCGGACAGCUGGACGGGUACUGACGCUCAGGCACGAAAGCGUGGGGAGCAAACAGGAUUAGAUACCCCCGUAGUCC